UACGUAGGGGGCAAGCGUUGUCCGGAUUUAUUGGGCGUAAAGAGCGUGUAGGCGGCCAUGUAGGUCCGUUGUGAAAACUCGAGGCUCAACCUCGAGACGCCGAUGGAAACCAUGUGGCUAGAGUCCGGAAGAGGAGAGUGGAAUUCCUGGUGUAUCGGUGAAAUGCGCAGAUAUCAGGAAGAACACCCGUGGCUAAGGCGGCUCUCUAGUACGGUACUGACGCUGAGACGCGAAAGCGUGGGGAGCGAACAGG
RNAcentral lists this ribosomal RNA (253 nucleotides) under uncultured bacterium. Its description in RNAcentral is "partial 16S ribosomal RNA". It matches the Rfam family "Bacterial small subunit ribosomal RNA", at positions 524 to 776 of the family's 1533-position model. The record is from RNAcentral.